AUUGAACGCUGGCGGCAGGCCUAACACAUGCAAGUCGAGCGGAUGAAGAGAGCUUGCUCCUGGAUUCAGCGGCGGACGGGUGAGUAAUGCCUAGGAAUCUGCCUGGUAGUGGGGGAUAACGUCCGGAAACGGGCGCUAAUACCGCAUACGUCCUGAGGGAGAAAGUGGGGGAUCUUCGGGACCUCACGCUAUCAGAUGAGCCUAGGUCGGAUUAGCUAGUUGGUGGGGUAAAGGCCUACCAAGGCGACGAUCCGUAACUGGUCUGAGAGGAUGAUCAGUCACACUGGAACUGAGACACGGUCCAGACUCCUACGGGAGGCAGCAGUGGGGAAUAUUGGACAAUGGGCGAAAGCCUGAUCCAGCCAUGCCGCGUGUGUGAAGAAGGUCUUCGGAUUGUAAAGCACUUUAAGUUGGGAGGGAGGGCAGUAAGUUAAUACCUUGCUGUUUUGACGUUACCAACAGAAUAAGCACCGGCUAACUUCGUGCCAGCAGCCGCGGUAAUACGAAGGGUGCAAGCGUUAAUCGGAAUUACUGGGCGUAAAGCGCGCGUAGGUGGUUCAGCAAGUUGGAUGUGAAAUCCCCGGGCUCAACCUGGGAACUGCAUCCAAAACUACUGAGCUAGAGUACGGUAGAGGGUGGUGGAAUUUCCUGUGUAGCGGUGAAAUGCGUAGAUAUAGGAAGGAACACCAGUGGCGAAGGCGACCACCUGGACUGAUACUGACACUGAGGUGCGAAAGCGUGGGGAGCAAACAGG
Molecule: ribosomal RNA, 754 nt
Filed under: uncultured Pseudomonas sp.
Lineage: Bacteria; Pseudomonadati; Pseudomonadota; Gammaproteobacteria; Pseudomonadales; Pseudomonadaceae
Description: bacterial SSU rRNA
Rfam family: Bacterial small subunit ribosomal RNA
Source: RNAcentral